RNAcentral lists this long non-coding RNA (245 nucleotides) under Fukomys damarensis (Damara mole-rat). RNAcentral's name for it is "lncRNA (ENSFDAG00000032897.1)". The record is from RNAcentral. Lineage: Eukaryota; Metazoa; Chordata; Mammalia; Rodentia; Bathyergidae.
GAGGAAUCACAUCUGAGAGACUCAGAAAUCAACUAAAAACAGACUGAAGGAGAGCUGUGCCCUCCCCUGCCUGCACCAGCCCCAGUGAGGAAGACGAGAUUUGGGAAGGUCACGCUGAGAUCUGCUCUCUCUCUCUGGCCUGCUUGGGCACGGGACCGGGUAGCCGCACCCUCCCCUGCCUGUGCCACCACAAGCUCUAGCAAGGAAGGUAGCUGCAGAGGUGCCCCUGAAACACCCCACCCCCC